RNAcentral lists this ribosomal RNA (512 nucleotides) under uncultured bacterium. RNAcentral's name for it is "partial 16S ribosomal RNA". It matches the Rfam family "Bacterial small subunit ribosomal RNA", at positions 28 to 523 of the family's 1533-position model. The record is from RNAcentral.
GACGAACGCUGGCGGCGUGCUUAAUACAUGCAAGUCGAGCGGAACUGGGGGAGCUUGCUCCUUCCAGUUUAGCGGCGGACGGGUGAGUAACACGUGGGCAACCUGCCCUGCAGAUCGGGAUAACUCCGGGAAACCGGUGCUAAUACCGAAUAGUUUGGCGCCUCUCCUGAGGCGCUACGGAAAGACGGUUUCGGCUGUCACUGCAGGAUGGGCCCGCGGCGCAUUAGCUAGUUGGUGGGGUAACGGCCCACCAAGGCGACGAUGCGUAGCCGGCCUGAGCGGGUGACCGGCCACACUGGGACUGAGACACGGCCCAGACUCCUACGGGAGGCAGCAGUAGGGAAUCUUCCGCAAUGGACGCAAGUCUGACGGAGCAACGUCGCGUGAGUGACGAAGGUUUUCGGAUCGUAAAACUCUGUUGUGAGGGAAGAACACGUACCAACUAACUAUUGGUACCUUGACGGUACCUCACCAGAAAGCCACGGCUAACUACGUGCCAGCAGCCGCGGUAA